RNAcentral lists this ribosomal RNA (240 nucleotides) under uncultured bacterium. RNAcentral's name for it is "partial 16S ribosomal RNA". It matches the Rfam family "Bacterial small subunit ribosomal RNA", at positions 118 to 348 of the family's 1533-position model. The record is from RNAcentral.
UGGGUAACCUGCCUCAAAGAGGGGAAUAGCCUCCCGAAAGGGAGAUUAAUACCGCAUAAUAUGUUUAGGUCGCAUGACUUUAACAUCAAAGGAUUUCUUUUAGAAAUUCCACUUUGAGAUGGACCCGCGGCGCAUUAGCUAGUUGGUGAGGUAACGGCUCACCAAGGCAACGAUGUGUAGCCGACCUGAGAGGUGAUCGGCCACAUUGGAACUGAGACACGGCCCAGACUCCUAGGGAGG